GGGAUUGCCCCAGUAACGGCGAGUGAAGCGGCAACAGCUCAAAUUUGAAAUCUGGCCCUCGGGUCCGAGUUGUAAUUUGUAGAGGAUGCUUUUGGCGAGGUGCCUUCCGAGUUCCCUGGAACGGGACGCCAUAGAGGGUGAGAGCCCCGUCUGGUCGGACACCGAGCCUCUGUAAAGCUCCUUCGACGAGUCGAGUAGUUUGGGAAUGCUGCUCAAAAUGGGAGGUAUAUGUCUUCUAAAGCUAAAUAUUGGCCAGAGACCGAUAGCGCACAAGUAGAGUGAUCGAAAGAUGAAAAGCACUUUGAAAAGAGGGUUAAAAAGUACGUGAAAUUGUUGAAAGGGAAGCGCCUAUGACCAGACUUGAGCCCGGUGAAUCAUCCAGCGUUCUCGCUGGUGCACUUUGCCGGGCCCAGGCCAGCAUCAGUUUGGCGCGGGGGAUAAAGGUGACGGGAAUGUGGCUCCCUCGGGAGUGUUAUAGCCCGCUACGUAAUACCCUGCGCCGGACUGAGGUACGCGCAUUGCAAGGAUGCUGGCGUAAUGGUCAUCAGCGACCCGUCUUGAAACACGGACCAAGGAGUCGUCUUCGUAUGCGAGUGUUCGGGUGUCAAACCCCUACGCGUAAUGAAAGUGAACGCAGGUGAGAGCUUCGGCGCAUCAUCGACCGAUCCUGAUGUUCUCGGAUGGAUUUGAGUAAGAGCAUACGGGGCCGGACCCGAAAGAAGGUGAACUAUGCCUGUAUAGGGUGAAGCCAGAGGAAACUCUGGUGGAGGCUCGCAGCGGUUCUGACGUGCGAAUCGAUCGUCAAAUAUGGGCAUGGGGGCGAA
Molecule: ribosomal RNA, 824 nt
Filed under: Cordyceps javanica
Lineage: Eukaryota; Fungi; Ascomycota; Sordariomycetes; Hypocreales; Cordycipitaceae
Description: partial large subunit ribosomal RNA
Rfam family: Eukaryotic large subunit ribosomal RNA
Source: RNAcentral